This 279-nucleotide ribosomal RNA is filed under the name uncultured bacterium. RNAcentral's name for it is "partial 16S ribosomal RNA". It matches the Rfam family "Bacterial small subunit ribosomal RNA", at positions 76 to 353 of the family's 1533-position model. The record is from RNAcentral.
CUUGCUAAGUUUGAUGGCGACCGGCGCACGGGUGAGUAACACGUAUCCAACCUGCCGAUAACUCGGGGAUAGCCUUUCGAAAGAAAGAUUAAUACCCGAUGGCAUAAUAGAACCGCAUGGUUUGGUUAUUAAAGAAUUUCGGUUAUCGAUGGGGAUGCGUUCCAUUAGGCAGUUGGUGGGGUAACGGCCCACCAAACCUUCGAUGGAUAGGGGUUCUGAGAGGAAGGUCCCCCACAUUGGAACUGAGACACGGUCCAAACUCCUACGGGAGGCAGCAUG